RNAcentral lists this ribosomal RNA (430 nucleotides) under uncultured Mycobacterium sp. Its description in RNAcentral is "bacterial SSU rRNA". It matches the Rfam family "Bacterial small subunit ribosomal RNA", at positions 960 to 1391 of the family's 1533-position model. The record is from RNAcentral. Lineage: Bacteria; Bacillati; Actinomycetota; Actinomycetes; Mycobacteriales; Mycobacteriaceae.
CGCGAAGAACCUUACCUGGGUUUGACAUGCACAGGACGUGUCUAGAGAUAGGCAUUCCCUUGUGGCCUGUGUGCAGGUGGUGCAUGGCUGUCGUCAGCUCGUGUCGUGAGAUGUUGGGUUAAGUCCCGCAACGAGCGCAACCCUUGUCUCAUGUUGCCAGCGAGUAAUGUCGGGAACUCGGACAAAACUGCCUCUGUAAGGAGGAGGAAGGUGGGGAUGACGUCAAGUCAUCAUGCCCCUUACGCCCUGGGCUGCACACAUGCUACAAUGGCCGGUACAAAGGGUUGCUAACCCGCGAGGGUAUGCUAAUCUCAAAAAACCGGUCUCAGUUCGGAUUGAGGUCUGCAACUCGACCUCAUGAAGUCGGAAUCGCUAGUAAACGCCGGUCAGCAAUGCGGCGUUGAAUACGUUCCCGGGCCUUGUACACACC